UAAAAUAUAAUUUAAGAAGAAAACCUAUCUUCCCCUUUCCUUCUUUAGUUCGCUCUUUCACUCCGCGGUGAUGAAAUUGAAGACUUCAAAAUCAUAAAAAUUUGUGUUCAGUAGUUGAAGGAUAACGUGUGCGCAAUAUGGUAUUUGAUACUUUUCUAACUUUUUUUGGAUUUUUACAGUAGUAAUUUUAGUUGUUGAUAAGCUUAAAAUUUUCUUUCCCUUUUUGUUUAAAAGUCAAAUCUUUCUCAUUUGGGUGUUGUUAAUUUUGUGAAAUAGAUGCCCGAUCUUCCACUUUGUACUUUGUUUUGUGGUAGAUGUUAGUUUUCUUGGGAUUUUGAAACGUAGAAAGAACCCUAUUUUACUUUUUAUUUAUUUAUUUUUGUUUUUUAGAUGUUGGUUUUACUGCAUAAUAUUUCUUUUAUGUCGAGGGUCUAUCAAAAAUCAACUCUGAAACACCACAAACAAAGUAAGGAGUAAACUGUUUUGUCCAUGUUAUCCUUUCUAGAACUUUGGAAACAUAACUUUCUGUCUGGCUAAGAAACUAGUCCAAGUUAUACCAAUAUGUAUAUAUAUUGGACAUUAUCCUUCCUCUCCUAUGAAGAAGAAACUCCAGAAGCAUCACCCAAUUUGGAAUUCAUGAGUUGAUAUUUAUUUAAAAGUUGUGAUAUAUGUUGAAUUUCCCUAGGAGAGGUUUAAACAUUGAGUGGAAACUUACUUUCUGUCUGGUUAGUAGAGAUUUCUUGCUUGUUAAGAGAUUAGUCAAAGUAAGAACGAGAAGUAUGUUGGAAAUGUUCCUUUCUUAAUAAGAUUCAUCAUCCAAUUUGGGAUUCUUGAGUUGAUGUAAAUUUCGAAGUUAUGUUAUGUGUUAAAUUCUCCUAGGCAAUCUUGAAGUAUUGAAUGGAAACUUACUUUUUGUAUGGUUUGUACGAAUUUCUUGUUUGCAAAGGGAUUUGUCUAAGUUAGACCGACAAGUAUAUAUAUGUUGGACAUGUUCUUUGAGUUUCAUCUUCACAGAUGAGGAAUGAUAAUGUAACAUAUAUACUUGUCCAUUUAACUAAGACUAAUCCCUUAAGAGAACAAAAUUUCUACUAACUAUACAAAAAUUAAGUUUCCAUUCAAUACUUUACGAUCGCCAAAAGAAUUCAACACACCACAUAACUUCGAUAUAAACAUCAACUCACCAAUCCCUAAUUGGGUGAUUCUUCUCGAGUUUCUUCUUCACAAAUCACGGAGCAUCAUGUCUAACAUAUAUACUUCUCGGUCUAACUUGGACUAAUUCCUUAGCAGACAAGAAAUUUCUACUAGCAAGAAAGAAUGUAAGUUUCCACUCAUUGUGUCAAGCUCACCCAAGGAAAUUUAACACACAACAUAACUUUCAAAUAAACAUGAAUCAAGAAUCCCAAAUUGUGUGAUGAUUCUUCGAGUUUUGUCAUCAUAGAAAGGAAUGAGUAUGUCCAUCAUAUUUCUCAGUAUAACUUGGAUUUAUUCUUUAAUAAGCAAGAAAUUACUAAGAGUAAGUUGCAUUUCACUCUCUUCUAAUAGUACAUCAUAAAAUUUAACAAUCCUCAGGCGAUUAAAUGUGAUAUUCGAGAAUCUUGCAUGAAUCUCAUCAAUAAAAUCACAGGGCACAAGUUCGAAAUAAUCCCCAUCACUAAGGAUACAUAAUCAUUCUUCAUAUAGCAUAAAUGUUUGGGGUCAUAUAUUCUGAAAAGGUUAACUGAUAUAGUAGUAUUUUUUGUACAAGUGUUAAAUCUAUAGUAAAACAUUUGUACUAAAAUUAAUACAAGUACUAUUUUUAUAUAUACUACCAAAUUACUCCUUUAGUGUUGAAAGAAGUGUCAAGUAUUAUCUAUUGAUUUAUAAUGUUGCAUAAACACAUGUCAUUCAUGUAGUGUUUUUAUGUAAACACUCACUACUAUAAAUUUGUAGUACAAUAAGUAUCGCAUCACUAAAUUGAACUGCUAGGUUCUCUUCAAUUUCUAUACAAAAAUAUUUUAUAUGUGUUUACUUUAACCUAAUCAAAACAAUUUUACAUCAAAAGUUUCAAACUAAAGAAAUCAAUUCAAGUGUCAUCUACGAAUUAUACACCUUUUCUUUUAUUUUUAAAGUUGUGACAUGUUUGUUUGUUGUUCGUGUAGCAUAUAUUCUGUCCUUAAAAAUCGUAUUCUUUUUUAAUUUCUACAAAUUAUCAUUCCUCCGGAUGAACAAAGACUAUGUUUACCUUCUCCUGAUCGACUUAGCAAUCUUGCCAUUCAUUUAAUUGUUGACAUUUUAAAUAGGUUGUCUUUUCAAGAUAUAUAAGAACUAGUACACUUUCUAAGGAAUGGCAAAAUAUUUGCCAAAAAAUUAACAGGUUAAUUUUGAUCAAAAGUUUUGGGAAACACCAGAGGACUUGACAUCCCAUACCAUUUGAUUUAUUCCUAUUCUUGAUUGUUUCCUCUAGUUUCAUAUGUGAAUAACAUAGAAAGUUAUCCUAGACUUUACUAGUCUAAAAGUAUGUCCUAAAUAAAAAACUUUGACCUAACUUGGACUAAUCCCUUGACAGGAAAGAAGUUCCUACUAACAAAAAAGUAAGUUUCCCUGAGAGAAUUCAAUAAAUAACAUAACUUUGCAAUAAACAACCAAAGACUCAAAUCAUAUAUCAUUUAAGAGCAUCCAUGAAAUGUAAAACCCAUCUCUGUUGACAAACUGAGUAUUCAAAACUUUUACAAUUCUAUGUUUCCAUGAAGAUAAAAUAUUUAUAGUACCUUAAAGUAAAGGCAAAAAACAGCCUUACUACUCAUCCACCAAACGUCUCAUUUUUGUAUAUACUUCCAAAACAUUUUAGCCAAAGAUUAAGAAGGAUUGUGAUAACGAUACUAAUCAACAAGAUACACAACUUCUGCUUUAGAUGAUGCCCAUUGAGACUUUGUUAUCUCCAUGAAUACAUUGAGAGAUUCAUUAGUUUCCAUUUGACGAGGCUUGAUUACCAUUUUCACCAGUGCUGGAGACUUUGCCAAUUAAACUUUGAUAAGCUGCAUUUCAACCUCUUCUAAUAGUACAUCAUAAAUCUUAACUGUUCUUAGAUGAUUAAAUGUUAUAUCCGAAAAGCUUGAAGGAAUCUCAUCAACAACUUGUUGGUUCACACAUUCGAAAUAAUAUCCAUCACUAAGGAUACAUUCCUAAGAAAAAUCAAGAAAAAAACCAUCAAAUCAUUACACACGAAUAUAAAAACAUGGAAAAGAUAGAGAGAAAAAUAAGCAUUACUGACGACCUUAAUUUCAAUUUCUUCCAAAUUUGGGGAACUUCGUACAUUGCAAGUAAUAAACGAAAGCUAAAAAACUCUCCAAGAGUAGUCCAACAUAUGUAAAGGUAUUUCAGACAGUUAAGACCUGAUAGAAGCCUUUUUGGUAUAAGUUCAGUUGAUACAUUAUCCAACUACAUAUAAAAUGACAAAAUCAGGAUUACUCAAAGUCAAAAUAAAAGUACACAUAAAAAUGCAUUACCAUUAAGUUAAAUGAAGGAACAUUACCCCAAAAAGAUCCCAGCUGAAAGACUCAAGAGCAGGGAUAGAGGAAAAAAUACUGAGAAAAUCAUCUUCAUCCUCUAGAACAAAUUCUCUAGGCGCAUACAAAACAUUGGGAAUAACAGGAAUAUUUUCAAGAUAUAUCAAUUGUAUAUCGCAAGAAAAGACAAAUGACCUUAGAUUAAGAGCAGUAAUACUUAUGAGGUACAGAUUGUCUGUCUUUUAGCACCAAAUCCUCAAGAAACGGGUUAUUAGAGAUCAAACUUUCAAACGUAUUAGUAGAUAAUGUGACAUAUUUAAAUUUUACCCUAAUCAACAUACUAAAUCCCUAAAAGAAACAUGGAAGUUGUAUUUUAGAUUCCAUGAAAUACAAAUGCCACAAUGCUGAACAAUAGAAAAAGAAGUUGGGCAACCUAUAUAGAGGAUAAAUAAAUGGAAGUUUAAGGACAAAAUGUUGAAUGUGAUCAACAUUAGGACACACUAUUAUACUAAUAAUAUUGAAGGUGACCUUCAGUAUUAUUCUUCUAUGAAACCUGAGGAAACUAUCAAGAAUCGGAAUAAAUGCAAUGGUAGGGGAUGUCAAGUCCUCGGGUGUUUUCCACACUAUUUGAUCAAACUUCAGAUGUGGAAUUCUCCAGCAAAUAUAUUGUCAGUCCUUCAAAAGUGUAGUAACUCUUACAACAUCUCGAAAAGACAACCUACUUAGAAUCUCUUCGAUUAAAUGAAUGUUAAGGUUCUUAAGUCGAUCAGGAGAAGGUAAACUAAGACAUUGUUCAUCCGGAGGAAUGAUAAUCUGUAGAAAAUAAAUAAAAGUAAGAUAGGUAAGUUCAAUGUACACUCUACACGAACAACAAAUAAACAUAUCAUAACUCUAAGAUUAAAAGAAAAGGUGCAUAAUAGGAGGCAAAUGUAACCUUUUUCCAUGUUUAAAAAAUGCAAAAGAAAUUAUUAGUAGCUGACAUUUGCAUUGAUAUAUUUAAUCUGCAACUCUUGAUAUAAAUUUGUUUGGCUUAGGUUAAAUCAAACACAUAUCAAGUAUUUGUGUAUAGAAUUUGAAAAAAAAAACUUAGACGUUUAAAUUAGUGAUUUUAUACUUAUUGUACUAGAAAUUUAUAGUAUUGAGUGCUAAAAUCAAAAUACUAUAGGAAUGGCAUGUGUUUGUUUGACCGUAUAUUUAACUCUGGUACAACUAAUACUAGUAUUACAAUUAACUUCUUUUGGGAUAUAUGACCCUGAACACUUGAUCUACAUGAAGCAUAAAAUAUUAUUUUAGUGAACUACACACUUAAUUUCAAUAUUUUGGUGAAACAUAAUAAAAAACACAUUCUGAAAUUUUAAUUUUUGUAUAAGCUAUUAAUAAGAACACAAAAAUCAUGAGAAAUGGUAUUAUUUUGUAAAACCUAAAACCAUCAAGACUUGAAUGAUAAAUCAGAUUCCUAUAAAUUUAAAACAAAAUAUUGAUAGGUGAAAAAGGUGAUAUUCGUUAUCCAAGACUAAGCCAUAAGUCCAUAUGCCUUUAGCCUAUAUUUUCUCAAGAAAACAUAAUUAGAAUUACACAAAUAUUUUACUUUUUCUUAAUAGUUUAAUUUUUUUUAAAAAAAACUACAAAUCUUAGGAGGAAACAAGAAAUAACUAAUUUUGUUGCUGCCAUUACACAAUGAAUUUAGGUACACCCAUCAUCAUAGUAUACUAUUGUUCUUUUUUUAAAAAAAAAAUACUUUUAUUAUUAUUGUUUUACUUAGGUUUAUUCAUAGGAUUGCUCUAUGCCUUUAAAGAUUAGGCAUAUGUCUUAGGCUCCAAAAAAUUUAAAGGCCUAAUGUUUUAGUAACAAUAAAAUUAUCGUAAGCUUUUUGUAGCAAAAAAAUGAAUGUUUUAAUUUGUAUGGAACUCUUUUAUAUUGAUCAAUUUUAAAUUUAACCUCCACAUGAUAUGUUUAAGACCACAAGAUUAAAAAAAAUUGGUAUAUAUAUAACUUUAGUUUAAUAUAAUAAAAAUAAAACUAUUUUUAUUAAAAAGAAAGAAAUAACUGGAAUUUCACAUAAAAAUAAAAAAUUGUAAAAAUUCGUCCUCAAACUUAUUUUUAGCUUUAGGACACUAUCUAGCUUAAGCCAUCACUAAGUUUUUUUUUUUAUCAAUUAUGUGUACUAACUGUUGAAGGAAACUUGACGAGUGAUGGGACACGUCGAAGGAACAGGUCCAUCGAAGUAGACUGAUGAGUUAGAGUUAGACUCCUACUAGGAUUAGACUACUAAAUCUUAAGUUACGUACGACUAAGCUAUUGAAUAUUAUAGGAGUCAACAAGGAUAAUGUAUUUGACUUGUAAUACAAUACUACUCAUGUAAUUAUUUGUAUUGUAGUAGGAUUCCUAGUAUAACUAGAAUAGGACUCUUCGCCUAUAUAAGGAGAUUUUAACUCAACAUUAUAAUAAUCAAUACAUCCUUGAUUUCUACACACUUUCGUGAGAUUUAUAAGUUGUAUCUGACAAAUAAAGUUUUUUCUGCUAUUUAACGUAUUAGAUCAAAAUAAACUUAAGACAAUGAAUUAUCUUAUAUGGAGGACACAAAUGACUUAGUUGAUUCAAGUGAUGAGAUUAACCUAAAUUAUCACAGAACCAAGUUGAGCGACCUGUUUCAAUGGACAGACUACUGAGAAAAGUGUAAUAGGCGAAAGGGUGCAGAAGACAACAACACUGUUGAUGAUUGGGAGGAUAAGGAUAUGUUACGAAGGAGUUGGAUAUAGGGCACCUUGACAGAAGAAAGCAUGUACCUGAUUGUAGUCUACUCAACUGCCACGGAGAUGUGGGAAUUCUUGGGAGAAAAAUAUUUUCAAGCAACUAAAGAUAAGAAGUUCCAAAUAAAGUAACAACUACAAAGUGUGUGUAACGACCUGUUUAGUCGUUUUGAGCAGCAGAUUUUAUUUCUGGAAAAAUUGGCUAAGACGACAGAUCCCACGACGGACCGUUAUGGGCAUGACGGACCGUCACAGUCUGCGUAACCUUGACUGGGUCGGAUUUCAGUUUAAUAUUUUAAGGGGCGUUUUGGACUAUUCCUGCUUAUAAUUAUAAAGUUAGUGGUUGAAUAUUAAUAAUCCAAUUUCUUGAGGGUUAAAGGAGAUAACCUUGAAUUAAUUAGUGGGUUACUUUUGUCAUCUUUUAUACUUAAUUAUAUGCUAAUUAGGGUAAAAGAAAAAGGGUUGAAUAAGAAAUAUAGAAAGAACAGAGAGAGAAAGGGAGAAACGAUCGAUUGAGAGAGGGACAAGAAGAAAGCAAAGAUUUUGAGGAUUAGCUUUCUUGAUCACAAUUCUUCGGUGGAGCUAGGUUAUGGUUUUUAUGUUAUUCAUAGUAAAAUUUUAAUAGCGAAUGAUAUGUGUUGGGUAGAAUUGUAAAGUCUUCUAUAUGCUUAAUUGUGUGCUUGCAUGAUGUAAUUAUGUAAUUGUAAUGGGUUGGAAAGAUAAGGUUGUGAACCUUAAAUCUAAAACUCUGUCUGUUAAUGAUGAUGCCUUGAUAUAAAAGAAGGCUCGAUAAACAAAAAGAAUGAGGUUAGGGGAUCGGGUGUCACGAACCGACACGUAGUAAUAGGGGGAUCGGGUGUCACAAACCGACACGUUGUAAUAGGGGAUCGGGUGUCACGAACCGGCACGUAGUAAUAGGGGAUAGGGUGUCAUGAACCGACAGUGUAGUAAUAGGGGGAUCGGGUGUCACGAACCGACACGUAGUAUUAGGGGGAUCGAGUGUCACGAACCGACACGUAGUAUUAGGGGAUCGGAGUGUCACGUUCCGACAAAAGAGGAAUAAAGAGAGUGAAUCUUGAAUUAUUGUAAUAUACUCAAAUUUAAUGAACCUAUUUCCCCAAAGGAGUAUGGUAUGGAGGCUUGCUUCCUCAUGGGUGUACUUGACGUACUUAUUAAUGAUUAUAGUACUUGUUGUUGCUACUUGUUGAGUAUUGUAGUUGAUUUUAUGAUAUUAUCUGAUAUAUACUGUUUUCUAUCUUGAUUUUACCGAUGAUACUUACUCAGUACCUGUGUUAUGUACUGACCCCUACUUGUAUGUAUUCUUUUUAUUAUUUGUGGAGUGCAGUAAACGUACCGUCAUCUUCAACUCAACUGCAACUCUAGCAAGUCUUCGUCACACCAGAUUUCAGGGUGAGCUAAAGCUUCUAGCUUGGACUGGAUCUUCUUCUUCAUGUCCGGAUGCCUUCAAGUUCUGGCAUAGACUAGCUGUUAUUUAUGUUUAGUUUCUUAGAUACUCUUAGAUUUAGAAAUUUGAGAAUAGAUGUUCUUGUGAUGAUGACUUCCAGAUUUUGGGGAUAAUGAUGAGUUUGAGUUUUAGAAGUUGAUUAUUGUUUUUGUUAAUGAGUUUUAAGUCUUCCG
RNAcentral lists this long non-coding RNA (7873 nucleotides) under Solanum lycopersicum (tomato). Its description in RNAcentral is "long non-coding RNA (SLYC_LNC000046)". Lineage: Eukaryota; Viridiplantae; Streptophyta; Magnoliopsida; Solanales; Solanaceae. The record is from RNAcentral.